UACGAAGGGGGCUAGCGUUGUUCGGAAUUACUGGGCGUAAAGCGCGCGCAGGCGGUCCUUUAAGUCAGGGGUGAAAGCCCAGAGCUCAACUCUGGAAUUGCCUUUGAAACUAGAGGACUUGGGUACGGGAGAGGUGAGUGGAAUUCCGAGUGUAGAGGUGAAAUUCGUAGAUAUUCGGAAGAACACCAGUGGCGAAGGCGGCUCACUGGCCCGUUACCGACGCUCAGGCGCGACAGCGUGGGGAGCAAACAGG
This 253-nucleotide ribosomal RNA is filed under the name uncultured bacterium. Its description in RNAcentral is "partial 16S ribosomal RNA". It matches the Rfam family "Bacterial small subunit ribosomal RNA", at positions 524 to 776 of the family's 1533-position model. The record is from RNAcentral.